GACGAACGCUGGCGGCGUGCUUAACACAUGCGAGUCGAACGGAAAGGCCCUGCUUUUGUGGGGUGCUCGAGUGGCGAACGGGUGAGUAACACGUGAGUAACCUGCCCUUGACUUUGGGAUAACUUCAGGAAACUGGGGCUAAUACCGGAUAGGAGCUCCUGCUGCAUGGUGGGGGUUGGAAAGUUUCGGCGGUUGGGGAUGGACUCGCGGCUUAUCAGCUUGUUGGUGGGGUAGUGGCUUACCAAGGCUUUGACGGGUAGCCGGCCUGAGAGGGUGACCGGCCACAUUGGGACUGAGAUACGGCCCAGACGCCUACGGGAGGCAGCAGUGGGGAAUAUUGCACAAUGGGCGGAAGCCUGAUGCAGCAACGCCGCGUGCGGGAUGACGGCCUUCGGGUUGUAAACCGCUUUCGCCUGUGACGAAGCGUGAGUGACGGUAAUGGGUAAAGAAGCACCGGCUAACUACGUG
This 468-nucleotide ribosomal RNA is filed under the name uncultured bacterium. Its description in RNAcentral is "partial 16S ribosomal RNA". It matches the Rfam family "Bacterial small subunit ribosomal RNA", at positions 28 to 507 of the family's 1533-position model. The record is from RNAcentral.